GCUAAUUGGCAAGGAACCCUGUGCACUGCAUUGGAUUGGCAUGGAUUGUACAUUUACUGCUCUGGUUACAUAGAAAGGUCUUUCAAGUUCUAGUGUAUAGAACGUAGAUGGUACACUACUCUUAUCAUCUGCUUGGCUGCUUUCUUUCAGCGGAAGAUCUUAAAAUUGGGGUUUCAGUCUUUUUCUACUUCUUGUUGAUUGCACAGAAAAAUUAUUUUUCCAUUGCUCUUGCGGGUAAAAAUGCUUUGCGAGUUCUGUCAAUUUAUGAUUG
Molecule: unclassified non-coding RNA, 271 nt
Filed under: Hevea brasiliensis (rubber tree)
Lineage: Eukaryota; Viridiplantae; Streptophyta; Magnoliopsida; Malpighiales; Euphorbiaceae
Source: RNAcentral